UAUGAGCUGGGUGUGAUUAUAAUGAGGUUGUAAUGAGCAAUUAGCUAUGAGCUGGGUGUGGAAAUAAUGAGGUCAUAUUGGGCAAUUGUUUGAGCUGGAUGUGGUUAUAAUUAAGUUCAUAUAUAAUUUAUAUUCUAUAUACAUAUAUAUAUAUAUUGGGAAUUUGUAAGAGUUGGGUGUGAUUUGAGGUUAUACUGGGCAGUCAGUAAUGAGCUGAGUGUGGUUUCCAAAGCCCAUUUGCUUGAUGUGUGGGUCAUGAAAACACUUUUAACCUACAUGUGCCAAAUUUGCUCGUUAUUUUAGAUCGAAGUCCUCAGAAAGAAACUUAAGAGGCACAAAAGAAUAGCUGACUCCACCAAGCAGGAGAACAAGGAGCUGAAGGCCUGCACAGCUCAAUGCCUGAGAACUGAAGAGGAAAACAAUGAACUGGAAGAUAUUAUGGAGCUGGUUAAAAAGACCUUUGAAACGAAUAGAAAAAGCCUUGAAGAGAAGCUGGAAAUUACCACCAACCAGCUUCGUGAAAAGGAGCAAGCUCAUCAGCAGAAACUGGCUCAGGAACGAGAACUUCAGGAGAGAGAGACCAAAUUCCAGUCCCAGAUCAGGGCUGGUGAAAUAACCAUUAAGACCAUGUCCACAGAGCAAAAGAGGAAGGAGGAAUGUUACAAGACUCGG
This is a long non-coding RNA of Anguilla rostrata (American eel), 672 nucleotides long. RefSeq lists it as uncharacterized. Lineage: Eukaryota; Metazoa; Chordata; Actinopteri; Anguilliformes; Anguillidae. The transcript has 3 exons. The record is from RefSeq and is a predicted model, not a curated record.